This 899-nucleotide ribosomal RNA is filed under the name uncultured bacterium. RNAcentral's name for it is "bacterial SSU rRNA". It matches the Rfam family "Bacterial small subunit ribosomal RNA", at positions 11 to 916 of the family's 1533-position model. The record is from RNAcentral.
GUUUGAUCCUGGCUCAGGACGAACGCUGGCGGCGUGCUUAACACAUGCAAGUCGAGCGGAAAGGCCCUUUCGGGGGUACUCGAGCGGCGAACGGGUGAGUAACACGUGAGUAAUCUGCCCUUCACUUUGGGAUAGCUCCCGGAAACGGGGAUUAAUACCGGAUAUGACUGCGGUCCGCAUGGGCUGUGGUGGAAAGUUUUUUCGGUGGGGGGUGUGCUCGCGGCCUAUCAGCUUGUUGGUGGGGUAAUGGCCUACCAAGGCUUCGACGGGUAGCCGGCCUGAGAGGGUGACCGGCCACACUGGGACUGAGACACGGCCCAGACUCCUACGGGAGGCAGCAGUGGGGAAUAUUGGACAAUGGGCGGAAGCCUGAUCCAGCAACGCCGCGUGAGGGAUGACGGCCUUCGGGUUGUAAACCUCUUUCAGCACCGACGAAGCGCCCGAUGGGUGGUGACGGUAGGUGCAGAAGAAGGACCGGCCAACUACGUGCCAGCAGCCGCGGUAAUACGUAGGGUCCGAGCGUUGUCCGGAAUUAUUGGGCGUAAAGGGCUCGUAGGCGGUUUGUCGCGUCGGGAGUGAAAACACCGGGCUUAACUCGGUGCUUGCUUUCGAUACGGGCAGACUAGAGGUAUGCAGGGGAGAACGGAAUUCCUGGUGUAGCGGUGAAAUGCGCAGAUAUCAGGAGGAACACCGGUGGCGAAGGCGGUUCUCUGGGCCGAUACUGACGCUGAGGAGCGAAAGCGUGGGGAGCGAACAGGAUUAGAUACCCUGGUAGUCCACGCUGUAAACGUUGGGCGCUAGGUGUGGGGGACCUCUCCGGUUCCCUGUGCCGCAGCUAACGCGUUAAGCGCCCCGCCUGGGGAGUACGGCCGCAAGGCUAAAACUCAAAGGAUUGACGG